Molecule: ribosomal RNA, 493 nt
Filed under: uncultured bacterium
Lineage: Bacteria
Description: partial 16S ribosomal RNA
Rfam family: Bacterial small subunit ribosomal RNA
Source: RNAcentral
AUUGAACGCUGGCGGCAAGCUUUACACAUGCAAGUCGAACGGUAACAGGUUAAGCUGACGAGUGGCGAACGGGUGAGUAGUGCAUCGGAACGUGCCCGAUCGUGGGGGAUAACGCAGCGAAAGCUGCGUUAAUACCGCAUACGAUCUGAGGAUGAAGGCGGGGGACCGUAAGGCCUCGCGCGAUCGGAGCGGCCGAUGUCAGAUUAGGUAGUUGGUGGGGUAAAGGCUCACCAAGCCGACGAUCUGUAGCUGGUCUGAGAGGACGACCAGCCACACUGGGACUGAGACACGGCCCAGACUCCUACGGGAGGCAGCAGUGGGGAAUUUUGGACAAUGGGCGAAAGCCUGAUCCAGCAAUGCCGCGUGCAGGAAGAGGGCCUUCGGGUUGUAAACUGCUUUUGUACGGAGCGAAAAGGCUCUCUCUAAUACAGGGGGCUCAUGACGGUACCGUAAGAAUAAGCACCGGCUAACUACGUGCCAGCCGCCGCGGUAA